RNAcentral lists this ribosomal RNA (403 nucleotides) under uncultured Dysgonomonas sp. Its description in RNAcentral is "bacterial SSU rRNA". It matches the Rfam family "Bacterial small subunit ribosomal RNA", at positions 509 to 914 of the family's 1533-position model. The record is from RNAcentral. Lineage: Bacteria; Pseudomonadati; Bacteroidota; Bacteroidia; Bacteroidales; Dysgonomonadaceae.
CAGCAGCCGCGGUAAUACGGAGGAUGCGAGCGUUAUCCGGAUUUAUUGGGUUUAAAGGGUGCGCAGGCGGGAUCUUAAGUCAGCGGUGAAAUUUUCAGGCUCAACCUGAACACUGCCGUUGAAACUGGGAUUCUUGAGUAUAGAUGAAGUAGGCGGAAUUCGUUGUGUAGCGGUGACAUGCUUAGAUAUAACGAGGAACUCCAAUUGCGUAGGCAGCUUACUAAGCUAUAACUGACGCUCAAGCACGAAAGCGUGGGGAUCAAACAGGAUUAGAUACCCUGGUAGUCCACGCCGUAAACGAUGAUUACUAGUUGUUUGUGAUAUAUUAUAAGUGACUAAGCGAAAGCGAUAAGUAAUCCACCUGGGGAGUACGCCGGCAACGGUGAAACUCAAAGGAAUUGAC